Molecule: ribosomal RNA, 367 nt
Filed under: uncultured bacterium
Lineage: Bacteria
Description: bacterial SSU rRNA
Rfam family: Bacterial small subunit ribosomal RNA
Source: RNAcentral
GUAAGGUCCGAGCGUUGUCCGGAAUCAUUGGGCGUAAAGGGUACGUAGGCGGGUAAGCAAGUUAGAAGUGAAAUCCUAUAGCUCAACUAUAGUAAGCUUUUAAAACUGCUCAUCUUGAGGUAUGGAAGGGAAAGUGGAAUUCCUAGUGUAGCGGUGAAAUGCGCAGAUAUUAGGAGGAAUACCGGUGGCGAAGGCGACUUUCUGGCCAUAACCUGACGCUGAGGUACGAAAGCGUGGGUAGCAAACAGGAUUAGAUACCCUGGUAGUCCACGCCGUAAACGAUGAGUGUUAGGUGUCUGGAGUAAAUCUGGGUGCCGCAGCUAACGCAUUAAACACUCCGCCUGGGGAGUACGCGUGCAAGCGUGAA